RNAcentral lists this long non-coding RNA (2738 nucleotides) under Brassica napus (rape). RNAcentral's name for it is "long non-coding RNA (BNAP_LNC014628)". Lineage: Eukaryota; Viridiplantae; Streptophyta; Magnoliopsida; Brassicales; Brassicaceae. The record is from RNAcentral.
CUCACAGAGCUUAUUGAAAACCCAAAAAUAAGAACACCAAAGUUGACCAAACAUUCCCACCAAUAUUCUUCAAAGCCGAUGAUAUCCAUAAACAAUAUAUAUGGUUUUAAAGAGCUAGGUUUAGGGUUUGAUGGACCCUUUUCCUCCGUCUGUUUCACACCUUCUCCGUGUCGAUUACCUGCCGUUGCUUGAACGCAUUUGCGUGGUGAGAGUACAGCCUGAACGAACCUGUUUUUUGAUGUUCCCUCCGCCAAAGUCGUAUUCUUGAAUAACAUCUUGCGUGAACGAUUCUUUUUCUCCUCAUUACCAAUGGCAAUUCCCAUAUCACCUGCAUCCCCUAGGUAAUUGAUAACCUCCUUGGUCUCGUCCAAAACCUCCUGUAAAUUAUCAGGUUCCUCAACUUCUCCAUCAGUGAGGUUCUGGAACUCAUCAUCACCACUAAUAACCUUUUCAUUGCCCUCUACAUCAAUCCUAGUUUCAUCAAACUCCAUUACAUCCUCCACUACACUAUGAUUCCACCCCCACUCCGUCCAUUAGGAUCCACUGUCACCAAGCAAUCAUAUCCAACAUGUGAUUGAAACUUUUGUACAAAUUCAAAACUCUGCUUAGUUUCUGAUAAAAAUAAAAAAUCAGGUUUAUGUUUAUGCCAAAUUUCUCGAAGAUAACUUAUUGUCCAAUGACUCCCCAUUCCUCGACAAUUCCAACUUAGAAUCUUCAUAAAAUUACAAUUUGAUCAUGCUCCCGAGAGCUAGAAAAUGGGCCUUGAAGAUACCCAACCAUUUUAAACAAAUUAAAUUCCAAAAACUCCCAUCCGAAAGAGAGUACCCAAUAGUCCUGAACCAAUCCAAAAACCAGUACCAAAUGGUCUUGAACCAAUUUUAAAAAAUUGUCCCACCACCAUGAUACGCGACUACGUCGGGGCCCACUACUGCAACAUCUUGUAUCGAUAUAUUGACUAUACCACCAUUUCCAUUUUCUCUAGUACACAGACCCGCCAACCUUGAGAAUCCAUCGAACCCUAAAAAAUCGCCGUCGCCAUAGUCUUUUUUUUUACGCCCUUCAAAAAAAAAUGAAACUCUCUCUUUUCCUUAGAAACCUGCAAACACGCUUUUGGACUAACUUGCAAACACUUUUAAGCAAAUUUUCCAACAAACUUCAUGGUUUUAGGAGUUCAACAAGAUGCAAAGUUUCGAAUCACGGCCGUCCUUCUAAGAGACACAGACAAGGAUGUGGUUAGGUAUGGGCACGGAUCGGAUAUCCGGGUUUUUGAAAGUAUUUGUGAUUUGGUUCGUAUGUCACAAAUAUCUAAUUUUUCGAAUUGUUUUGCUUCAAAAAAAUACGGAUAUUCGGAAAAACAUAUAUCCGAAAAAUAAAUAGAUAUUUGCGGACAUUUGCGGAUAUUUACGGAUAUCUCAUAUGUUUUGAUUAAUACAAAUAAUCUUAAAAUUUUGAUACAAAUUUUUUUUUGUAAAAUAUUUUUCUGCAGGAUAUAUAUGAUAAAAAUUAAAAUAAGUAGGGAAUCUACGUAGGUUGUAAAUUUUUUGAACUUAGUUAACAAUUAUAAUAACACAAAACUUAAGAAAAAAUUAUAAUUGUCAUAAAUAUGUUCUUUUCCUUUUAUGUAAUACUUUUAUAUAAAUAAUAAUAUGAAUAUAAUUUAUAAAACUAAAUAUUCCAAUACAUCACGAUAUCAUAAUUACUAACAUGAAGAAACGCCAGAAACAAAAGGUCAAAAUGAAGCCAAGAAGCCUCAACAGUACUACAAAAUGAUAUGCUCACAGAGCUUAUUGAAAACCCAAAAAUAAGAACACCAAAGUUGACCAAACAUUCCCACCAAUAUUCUUCAAAGCCGAUGAUAUCCAUAAACAAUAUAUAUGGUUUUAAAGAGCUAGGUUUAGGGUUUGAUGGACCCUUUUCCUCCGUCUGUUUCACACCUUCUCCGUGUCGAUUACCUGCCGUUGCUUGAACGCAUUUGCGUGGUGAGAGUACAGCCUGAACGAACCUGUUUUUUGAUGUUCCCUCCGCCAAAGUCGUAUUCUUGAAUAACAUCUUGCGUGAACGAUUCUUUUUCUCCUCAUUACCAAUGGCAAUUCCCAUAUCACCUGCAUCCCCUAGGUAAUUGAUAACCUCCUUGGUCUCGUCCAAAACCUCCUGUAAAUUAUCAGGUUCCUCAACUUCUCCAUCAGUGAGGUUCUGGAACUCAUCAUCACCACUAAUAACCUUUUCAUUGCCCUCUACAUCAAUCCUAGUUUCAUCAAACUCCAUUACAUCCUCCUCUACACUAUGAUUCCCAUUUCCGACCAUAUCAUUACCCAACUCUAAAUCAUUCUCAGGGCCCAGAGAUACCUUCAGAUUCGAUUUGCCUUGCCUCUCUUUCCUGGACUUUCCAGAUCUCCAUAAAAUCCUUCGAGAAUCCAUAAGCUCCUUUCGCUUCCAUCCUCCACUGAAACCGUCAUGAAGAUGAAGAUUUACUCUCUGAGAACCACUUAAAACCUUUCGAUUGCCCCUUUGAAGCCUUAGAUCUCCGGGAUCCCAACCUUGAGAAUCCAUCGAACCCUAAAAAAUCGCCGUCGCCAUAGUCUUUUUUUUUACGCCCUUCAAAAAAAAAUGAAACUCUCUCUUUUCCUUAGAAACCUGCAAACACGCUUUUGGACUAACUUGCAAACACUUUUAAGCAAAUUUUCCAACAAACUUCAUGGUUUUAGGAGUUCAACAAGAUGCAAAGUUUCGAAUCACGG